This 73-nucleotide transfer RNA is filed under the name Kluyveromyces marxianus. RNAcentral's name for it is "tRNA-Gly". It matches the Rfam family "tRNA". Rfam says of the family: Transfer RNA (tRNA) molecules are approximately 80 nucleotides in length. Their secondary structure includes four short double-helical elements and three loops (D, anti-codon, and T loops). Further hydrogen bonds mediate the characteristic L-shaped molecular structure. tRNAs have two regions of fundamental functional importance: the anti-codon, which is responsible for specific mRNA codon recognition, and the 3' end, to which the tRNAs corresponding amino acid is attached (by aminoacyl-tRNA synthetases). tRNAs cope with the degeneracy of the genetic code in two manners: having more than one tRNA (with a specific anti-codon) for a particular amino acid; and 'wobble' base-pairing, i.e. permitting non-standard base-pairing at the 3rd anti-codon position. Lineage: Eukaryota; Fungi; Ascomycota; Saccharomycetes; Saccharomycetales; Saccharomycetaceae. RNAcentral also lists the same sequence under 3 other names. The record is from RNAcentral.
GACACUGUAGUCUAGUGGUUUAGGAUACUCCCCUUCCAAGGGAGUGACACGGGUUCGAAUCCCGUCAGUGUCA